UACGUAGGGGGCAAGCGUUGUCCGGAAUCAUUGGGCGUAAAGAGCGUGUAGGCGGCCUGGUAAGUCCGCUGUGAAAGUCCAGGGCUCAACCCUGGAAUGCCGGUGGAAACUGUCAGGCUCGAGUCCGGAAGAGGCGAGUGGAAUUCCUGGUGUAGCGGUGAAAUGCGCAGAUAUCAGGAGGAACACCGGUGGCGAAGGCGGCGCUCUGGACCGAGACUGACGCUGAGGCGCGAAAGCGUGGGGAGCAAACAGG
RNAcentral lists this ribosomal RNA (253 nucleotides) under uncultured bacterium. Its description in RNAcentral is "partial 16S ribosomal RNA". It matches the Rfam family "Bacterial small subunit ribosomal RNA", at positions 524 to 776 of the family's 1533-position model. The record is from RNAcentral.